UGACAUUUUCAAUGAUAUCCAAGAUAGAGAGAGAUCCAAUUACCCAAGUUUACCCAAACACCAGCGUCAGGUGUGAUAAAUUUACUCCUAUUUCAGCACAUUUACUUUACUUGGCUCUCGUUUUAUGAAAAUAUUCAUUUGAAUGCCAGUGCUUUAACAUAACAAAUUUUGUGACAAAAAAUAAAAAUACCAUUAUAAAUAGGAACAAUUAAGAAAUUAAGACAUAACAUUAUUAAAGUGUUGUAAUAUAUAUGGUUUUAAAGAUGUUUGGUUUAGUCUACUUUAAAAAGGUGGUUUAGUCUACUUUGAAAAGGAUAGUACACUUGUAAGUGUGCGACAAAAUCUCAGAGACUUGACAUUCGAAGUUUUCAAGCGAAAAUCAAAAUGUUCCAUGAAAUGGGGCGCAGAAGACGAUGAGGAAAGAAUUAUUAUUACCAGAGAUGGUUCAACUGAUGGAACAUUAUCCAACCACAAUAAAAAGAUUUGGAAUGCGCAAGUUUUGCAGUGCUGCCUUUUACCUGAUGGUGAAACUUAGUUCCGGCCAUAAAUCCGAGGGAGACACAAGAACGGUCAAGAGGUCAGGUUCUGGCGGGGAACAAGCAUGACAUAAAGCCUGUGCUUGAUGCCGUCAUCAUUUCUGCCUGCAAAGGUUAUGUCUGGAUGUGGUGCAAAGACCACAGCAAAACAGUGCCAGAUGACACCUCUUUCAACAAGGCAGUGACACUCCAAAUAGACUACUCCAGG
Long non-coding RNA from Dreissena polymorpha, 744 nucleotides. RefSeq lists it as uncharacterized. The transcript is spliced from 4 exons. Lineage: Eukaryota; Metazoa; Mollusca; Bivalvia; Myida; Dreissenidae. The record is from RefSeq and is a predicted model, not a curated record.